RNAcentral lists this ribosomal RNA (1372 nucleotides) under uncultured bacterium. RNAcentral describes it as "bacterial SSU rRNA". It matches the Rfam family "Bacterial small subunit ribosomal RNA", at positions 28 to 1381 of the family's 1533-position model. The record is from RNAcentral.
GAUGAACGCUGGCGGCGUGCCUAAUACAUGCAAGUCGAGCGAACGGACGAGAAGCUUGCUUCUCUGAUGUUAGCGGCGGACGGGUGAGUAACACGUGGAUAACCUACCUAUAAGACUGGGAUAACUUCGGGAAACCGGAGCUAAUACCGGAUAAUAUUUUGAACCGCAUGGUUCAAAAGUGAAAGACGGUCUUGCUGUCACCUAUAGAUGGAUCCGCGCUGCAUUAGCUAGUUGGUAAGGUAACGGCUUACCAAGGCAACGAUGCAUAGCCGACCUGAGAGGGUGAUCGGCCACACUGGAACUGAGACACGGUCCAGACUCCUACGGGAGGCAGCAGUAGGGAAUCUUCCGCAAUGGGCGAAAGCCUGGCGGAGCAACGCCGCGUGAGUGAUGAAGGUCUUCGGAUCGUAAAACUCUGUUAUUAGGGAAGAACAUAUGUGUAAGUAACUGUGCACAUCUUGACGGUACCUAAUCAGAAAGCCACGGCUAACUACGUGCCAGCAGCCGCGGUAAUACGUAGGUGGCAAGCGUUAUCCGGAAUUAUUGGGCGUAAAGCGCGCGUAGGCGGUUUUUUAAGUCUGAUGUGAAAGCCCACGGCUCAACCGUGGAGGGUCAUUGGAAACUGGAAAACUUGAGUGCAGAAGAGGAAAGUGGAAUUCCAUGUGUAGCGGUGAAAUGCGCAGAGAUAUGGAGGAACACCAGUGGCGAAGGCGACUUUCUGGUCUGUAACUGACGCUGAUGUGCGAAAGCGUGGGGAUCAAACAGGAUUAGAUACCCUGGUAGUCCACGCCGUAAACGAUGAGUGCUAAGUGUUAGGGGGUUUCCGCCCCUUAGUGCUGCAGCUAACGCAUUAAGCACUCCGCCUGGGGAGUACGACCGCAAGGUUGAAACUCAAAGGAAUUGACGGGGACCCGCACAAGCGGUGGAGCAUGUGGUUUAAUUCGAAGCAACGCGAAGAACCUUACCAAAUCUUGACAUCCUUUGACAACUCUAGAGAUAGAGCUUUCCCCUUCGGGGGACAAAGUGACAGGUGGUGCAUGGUUGUCGUCAGCUCGUGUCGUGAGAUGUUGGGUUAAGUCCCGCAACGAGCGCAACCCUUAAGCUUAGUUGCCAUCAUUAAGUUGGGCACUCUAAGUUGACUGCCGGUGACAAACCGGAGGAAGGUGGGGAUGACGUCAAAUCAUCAUGCCCCUUAUGAUUUGGGCUACACACGUGCUACAAUGGACAAUACAAAGGGCAGCGAAACCGCGAGGUCAAGCAAAUCCCAUAAAGUUGUUCUCAGUUCGGAUUGUAGUCUGCAACUCGACUACAUGAAGCUGGAAUCGCUAGUAAUCGUAGAUCAGCAUGCUACGGUGAAUACGUUCCCGGGUCU